Molecule: non-coding RNA, 87 nt
Filed under: Paenibacillus beijingensis
Lineage: Bacteria; Bacillati; Bacillota; Bacilli; Caryophanales; Paenibacillaceae
Description: c-di-GMP sequence
Rfam family: c-di-GMP-I riboswitch aptamer
About the family: GEMM was predicted in a large-scale screen for bacterial structured RNA regulatory elements. Genes associated with GEMM are involved in a diverse array of functions, including chemotaxis regulation, signal transduction, secretion and chitin.
Source: Rfam by way of RNAcentral
CAAAGAUAAAGGCAAAACCUUUGAAAAAAGGUGACGCAAAGCCAUGGGUCUAACGUCCUUACGGACCAUGAUCGCCAGGCCGCCAAG